Molecule: long non-coding RNA, 801 nt
Filed under: Rattus norvegicus (Norway rat)
Lineage: Eukaryota; Metazoa; Chordata; Mammalia; Rodentia; Muridae
Description: long non-coding RNA NONRATT020366
Source: RNAcentral
GGAAGCAAUUUAGAGUAUGAGAAAAAAAAAAUCCAAAAGUAGGAAGAAUUGGGGGAGGGAGGGCAGAGCUACGCCUAUGGCUGUCUUGGUGUGGCCACAUGAACCUUACAGCGCUAAAGAUUCAGUUGUUUCUGUGAACGAGGACAGAAGUGCCUCCUUCUUCAGGAAGUCCUGAUCUUAAACACAGUUAUGGUGUCUUGAACAACGAAGCAACAAGUUCCCAACCAUGAACACAGUUGAGUGGUCAAAAACACUGGCGUGUGAGCUUAGGGUUUGCUAAACUCAGUUUGAAGCCAGCAUUGACAGAGGAGAUGUGGCAGAUUUGCCUCUCCACCCAGCCUUCCCCAUCCACCAGUGUCAGGCGUGCUUCCUCCUGCUCACACCUCCUCCUCCUCCUUCCCUUUCCUUCCCUUCCCAACCACUCUUUCCCCUUGCCCUUUUCUAAGUGACUACUAGUGCCAACAGUGAGCAUUCUGUGGUGAGAUGUUACCCUCUGGGAUUUUAUGCAGUAAAGAUCCGGUUUGGAGGCCAUUGUUAGUUACUGCAGUGCUUUUGUUUCUUUCUUCUAGCAUCCACCACCACGCUUAAUAAACUUUCAGAACCACAGCCCUAAGCCCAAUGGACCAGUGCUUCCUCCUUAUCCUCAGCAGCUGAGGUACCCACCCAGCCAGAAUAUACCACGGCAGGCAAUAAAGCCCAACCCCCUGCAGAUGGCUUUUUUGGCUCAACAGGCCAUAAAACAGUGGCAGAUCAGCAGUGGACAGGCUACGCCUACAACUGCCAGCAGCUCCUCCUCCACUC